CCAACAGGGAUGGCCCCCAGUAACGGCGAGUGAAGCGGCCACAGCUCAAAUUUGAAAUCUGGCCCCAGGCCCGAGUUGUAAUUUGCAGAGGAUGCUUCGGGCGCGGCGCCUUCCAAGUCCCCUGGAACGGGGCGCCACAGAGGGUGAGAGCCCCGUACGGUUGGACGCCAAGCCUGUGUGAAGCUCCUUCGACGAGUCGAGUAGUUUGGGAAUGCUGCUCUAAAUGGGAGGUAGACCCCUUCUAAAGCUAAAUACCGGCUGGAGACCGAUAGCGCACAAGUAGAGUGAUCGAAAGAUGAAAAGAACUUUGAAAAGAGGGUUAAACAGCACGUGAAAUUGUUGAAAGGGAAGCGCUUGUGACCAGACUUGCUCCGGGGCGUUCCCCUGGCGUUCUCGCCAGGGCACUCGCCCCGAGGCAGGCCAGCGUCGGUUCGGGAGGGGGGAUAAGGACGUCGGGCACGUAGCUCCCUCGGGAGUGUUAUAGCCCGGUGUGCGAUGCCCCCGCCCGGACCGAGGUACGCGCUCUGCAAGGACGCUGGCGUAAUGGUCACCAGCGGCCCGUCUUGAAACACGGACCAAGGAGUCGAGGUUCUGCGCGAGUGUCUGGGUGCCAAACCCGCACGCGCAAUGAAAGUGAACGUAGGUGGGAGCUUCGGCGCACCACCGACCGAUCCUGAUGUUCUCGGAUGGAUUUGAGUAUGAGCGUUGGGCCUCGGACCCGAAAGAUGGUGAACUAUGCUUGGAUAGGGUGAAGCCAGAGGAAACUCUGGUGGAGGCUCGCAGCGGUUCUGACGUGCAAAUCGAUCGUCAAAUCUGAGCAUGGGGGGCGAAAGACUAAUCGAACCAU
Molecule: ribosomal RNA, 847 nt
Filed under: Chaetosphaeria sp.
Lineage: Eukaryota; Fungi; Ascomycota; Sordariomycetes; Chaetosphaeriales; Chaetosphaeriaceae
Also listed under: 1 other name
Description: partial large subunit ribosomal RNA
Rfam family: Eukaryotic large subunit ribosomal RNA
Source: RNAcentral